Molecule: ribosomal RNA, 554 nt
Filed under: uncultured archaeon
Lineage: Archaea
Description: partial 16S ribosomal RNA
Source: RNAcentral
GUGCUCCCCCGCCAAUUCCUUCAAGUUUCAGCCUUGCGGCCGUACUUCCCAGGUGGCUCGCUUCACGGCUUCCCUACGGCACCGACCACGGUCGCACCGUGGCCGACACCUAGCGAGUAUCGUUUACGGCUAGGACUACCCGGGUAUCUAAUCCGGUUCGCGCCCCUAGCUUUCGUCCCUUGCCGUCAGAUCCGUUCUGGUGAGACGCCUUCGCCACUGGUGGUCCCUCAAGGAUUACAAGAUUUCACCCCUACCCCUGAGGUACCUCUCACCUCUCCCGGUCUCGAGCCGAUCAGUAUCUCCUGAAAGCCUGACAGUUAAGCUGUCAGAUUUCCCAAGAGACUUAGUCAGCCGGCUACAGACCCUUUAGACCCAAUAAUAGCGGUUACCACUCGAGCCGCCGGUGUUACCGCGGCGGCUGGCACCGGUCUUGCCCGGCCCUUGCUAUGCAAUGCUUUUUAGGCAUUACGACAGCCAGGAUUGUAUCCUGGCACUCGAGGUCCCCUUAUCGCUGUUUCCAGCAUUGUAAAGUUUUCGCGCCUGCUGCACCCCGU